Molecule: ribosomal RNA, 332 nt
Filed under: uncultured bacterium
Lineage: Bacteria
Description: bacterial SSU rRNA
Rfam family: Bacterial small subunit ribosomal RNA
Source: RNAcentral
CGUGUAGGCGGUUGGGUAAGUCAGAUGUGAAAGCCUUCUGCUUAACAGAAGAAGUGCAUUUGAAACUGCUCGGCUAGAGUACGGGAGAGGAGAGUGGAAUUCCCGGUGUAGAGGUGAAAUUCGUAGAUAUCGGGAGGAACACCAGUGGCGAAGGCGGCUCUCUGGUCCGAUACUGACGCUGAGACGCGAAAGCGUGGGGAGCAAACGGGAUUAGAUACCCUGGUAGUCCACGCCGUAAACGAUGGGCACUAGGUGUAGGAGGUAUUGACCCCUUCUGUGCCGAAGCUAACGCAUUAAGUGCCCCGCCUGGGGAGUACGGCCGCAAGGCUAAA